AGCUUUUCUAGUGUAUGUUUAUGUUAUUGCAGUUGUAACGCUCGUAGUUAGUAUAUUUUGAUUGUGAGUAAAGGUAUUUGAUUAAAGUUUGCUUUUAGCGUGGGAUUUCUUUGCAUGUGUCCUCUAAGGACAAAUAGAUCACAAAAACAACUCGGGGCGCUAGUAUGGGCCGGCCAGAGGUGAAAUUCACGGAUUCGGCCCGGACUCUCUACAGCGAAAGCAGCCGCCAAACUUGUCUUUUUUA
This 244-nucleotide ribosomal RNA is filed under the name Shinkaiya sp. RNAcentral describes it as "partial small subunit ribosomal RNA". It matches the Rfam family "Eukaryotic small subunit ribosomal RNA", at positions 587 to 975 of the family's 1831-position model. The record is from RNAcentral. Lineage: Eukaryota; Foraminifera; Syringamminidae.